AGUCGAGGGGAAACGACGGGGAAGCUUGCUUCCCCGGGCGUCGACCGGCGCACGGGUGAGUAACGCGUAUCCAACCUGCCUCUGACUGAGGGAUAACCCGUCGAAAGUCGGCCUAAUACCUCAUGGCAUCGUCUGCGGGCAUCCAACGACGAUUAAAGAUUUCAUCGGUCAGAGAUGGGGAUGCGUCUGAUUAGCUAGUUGGCGGGGUAACGGCCCACCAAGGCGACGAUCAGUAGGGGUUCUGAGAGGAAGGUCCCCCACAUUGGAACUGAGACACGGUCCAAACUCCUACGGAAGGCAGCAGUGAGGAAUAUUGGUCAAUGGGCGAGAGCCUGAACCAGCCAAGUAGCGUGCAGGAAGACGGCCCUAUGGGUUGUAAACUGCUUUUAUGCGGGGAUAAAGUGAGGGACGUGUCCUUCAUUGCAGGUACCGCAUGAAUAAGGACCGGCUAAUUCCGUGCCAGCAGCCGCGGUAAUACGGAAGGUCCGGGC
RNAcentral lists this ribosomal RNA (491 nucleotides) under uncultured Bacteroidales bacterium. Its description in RNAcentral is "bacterial SSU rRNA". It matches the Rfam family "Bacterial small subunit ribosomal RNA", at positions 60 to 539 of the family's 1533-position model. The record is from RNAcentral. Lineage: Bacteria; Pseudomonadati; Bacteroidota; Bacteroidia; Bacteroidales.